CCUACGGGUGGCAGCAGUCGAGAAUCAUUCACAAUGGGGGAAACCCUGAUGGUGCGACGCCGCGUGGGGGAAUGAAGGUCUUCGGAUUGUAAACCCCUGGCAUGUGGGAGCAAAUUAAAAAGAUAGUACCACAACAGGAAGAGACGGCUAACUCUGUGCCAGCAGCCGCGGUAAUACAGAGGUCUCAAGCGUUGUUCGGAAUCACUGGGCGUAAAGGGUGCGUAGGCUGUUUCGUAAGUCGUGUGUGAAAGGCGCGGGCUCAACCCGCGGACGGCACAUGAUACUGCGAGACUAGAGUAAUGGAGGGGGAACCGGAAUUCUCGGUGUAGCAGUGAAAUGCGUAGAUAUCGAGAGGAACACUCGUGGCGAAGGCGGGUUCCUGGACAUUAACUGACGCUGAGGCACGAAGGCCAGGGGAGCGAAAGGGAUUAGAUACCCGAGUAGUC
This 446-nucleotide ribosomal RNA is filed under the name uncultured bacterium. Its description in RNAcentral is "partial 16S ribosomal RNA". It matches the Rfam family "Bacterial small subunit ribosomal RNA", at positions 338 to 795 of the family's 1533-position model. The record is from RNAcentral.